AGAGUUUGAUCCUGGCUCAGGACGAACGCUGGCGGCGUGCUUAACACAUGCAAGUCGAACGGGGUGUUUAUUUCGGUAAACGCCAAGUGGCGAACGGGUGAGUAACGCGUAAGCAAUCUACCUUCAAGAUGGGGACAACACUUCGAAAGGGGUGCUAAUACCGAAUGAAUGUAAGAGUAUCGCAUGAGACACUUACUAAAGGAGGCCUCUAUAUAUAAGCUUCCGCUUGAAGAUGAGCUUGCGUCUGAUUAGCUAGUUGGUAAGGGUAAAGGCCUACCAAGGCGACGAUCAGUAGCCGGUCUGAGAGGAUGAACGGCCACAUUGGGACUGAGACACGGCCCAGACUCCUACGGGAGGCAGCAGUGGGGAAUCUUCCGCAAUGGGCGAAAGCCUGACGGAGCAACGCCGCGUGAACGAAGAAGGUCUUCGGAUCGUAAAGUUCUGUUGUUAAGGGCGAAGGAUGCUUAUUAUAAUACAGUAAGUAUUUGACGGUACUUAACGAGGAAGCCACGGCUAACUACGUGCCAGCAGCCGCGGUAAUACGUAGGUGGCAAGCGUUGUCCGGAAUUAUUGGGCGUAAAGGGAGCGCAGGCGGGAAAUUAAGCGGAUCUUAAAAGUGCGGGGCUCAACCUCGUGAUGGGGUCCGAACUGAUUUUCUUGAGUGCAGGAGAGGAAAGCGGAAUUCCCAGUGUAGCGGUGAAAUGCGUAGAUAUUGGGAAGAACACCAGUGGCGAAGGCGGCUUUCUGGACUGUAACUGACGCUGAGGCUCGAAAGCUAGGGUAGCGAACGAGAUUAGAUACCCCGGUAGUCCUAGCCGUAAACGAUGCAUACUAAGUGUGGGAGGUAUCGACCCCUUCCGUGCCG
Molecule: ribosomal RNA, 865 nt
Filed under: uncultured bacterium
Lineage: Bacteria
Description: bacterial SSU rRNA
Rfam family: Bacterial small subunit ribosomal RNA
Source: RNAcentral